This 469-nucleotide ribosomal RNA is filed under the name uncultured bacterium. Its description in RNAcentral is "bacterial SSU rRNA". It matches the Rfam family "Bacterial small subunit ribosomal RNA", at positions 335 to 796 of the family's 1533-position model. The record is from RNAcentral.
ACUCCUACGGGAGGCAGCAGUGGGGAAUAUUGGACAAUGGGCGCAAGCCUGAUCCAGCAAUGCCGCGUGUGUGAAGAAGGCCUUCGGGUUGUAAAGCACUUUUAUCAGGAGCGAAAUACCACGGGUUAAUACCCUAUGGGGCUGACGGUACCUGAGGAAUAAGCACCGGCUAACUUCGUGCCAGCAGCCGCGGUAAUACGAAGGGUGCAAGCGUUAAUCGGAAUUACUGGGCGUAAAGCGUGCGUAGGCGGUGACUUAAGUCUGCUGUGAAAUCCCCGGGCUCAACCUGGGAAUGGAAGUGGAUACUGGGUCGCUAGAGUGUGAUAGAGGAUGGUGGAAUUCCCGGUGUAGCGGUGAAAUGCGUAGAGAUCGGGAGGAACAUCAGUGGCGAAGGCGGCCAUCUGGAUCAACACUGACGCUGAGGCACGAAAGCGUGGGGAGCAAACAGGAUUAGAUACCCUGGUAGUCC